UAGGGAAUCUUCCGCAAUGGGCGAAAGCCUGACGGAGCAACGCCGCGUGAGUGAUGAAGGUCUUCGGAUCGUAAAACUCUGUUAUUAGGGAAGAACAAAUGUGUAAGUAACUAUGCACAUCUUGACGGUACCUAAUCAGAAAGCCACGGCUAACUACGUGCCGGCAGCCGCGGUAAUACGUAGGUGGCAAGCGUUAUCCGGAAUUAUUGGGCGUAAAGCGCGCGUAGGCGGUUUUUUAAGUCUGAUGUGAAAGCCCCCGGCUCAACCGGGGAGGGUCAUUGGAAACUGGUUGACUUGAGUGCAGAAGAGGAGAGUGGAAUUCCAUGUGUAGCGGUGAAAUGCGUAGAUAUAUGGAGGAACACCAGUGGCGAAGGCGACUCUCUGGUCUGUAACUGACGCUGAGGCUCGAAAGCGUGGGUAGCAAACAGG
Molecule: ribosomal RNA, 429 nt
Filed under: Bacteroidota bacterium
Lineage: Bacteria; Pseudomonadati; Bacteroidota
Description: Bacteroidetes bacterium partial 16S ribosomal RNA
Rfam family: Bacterial small subunit ribosomal RNA
Source: RNAcentral